CAGUAGCCACGGUAAUACAGAGGGUGCGAGCGUUAAUCGGAUUUAGUGGGCGUAAAGCGUGCGUAGGCGGCUUCUUAAGUCGGAUGUGAAAUCCCUGAGCUUAACUUAGGAAUUGCAUUCGAUACUGGGAAGCUAGAGUAUGGGAGAGGAUGGUAGAAUUCCAGGUGUAGCGGUGAAAUGCGUAGAGAUCUGGAGGAAUACCGAUGGCGAAGGCAGCCAUCUGGCCUAAUACUGACGCUGAGGUACGAAAGCAUGGGGAGCAAACAGGAUUAGAUACCCCCGUAGUCCCUGUCUCUUAUAC
RNAcentral lists this ribosomal RNA (301 nucleotides) under uncultured bacterium. RNAcentral describes it as "partial 16S ribosomal RNA". It matches the Rfam family "Bacterial small subunit ribosomal RNA", at positions 509 to 807 of the family's 1533-position model. The record is from RNAcentral.